Molecule: ribosomal RNA, 426 nt
Filed under: uncultured prokaryote
Description: bacterial SSU rRNA
Rfam family: Bacterial small subunit ribosomal RNA
Source: RNAcentral
UGGGGAAUUUUCCGCAAUGGGGGCAACCCUGACGGAGCAAUACCGCGUGCGGGAGGAAGGCCCUUGGGUCGUAAACCGCUUUUAACAGGGAAGAAGUUCUGACGGUACCUGUUGAAUAAGCCUCGGCUAACUCCGUGCCAGCAGCCGCGGUAAGACGGAGGAGGCAAGCGUUAUCCGGAAUUAUUGGGCGUAAAGCGUCCGCAGGUGGCCUAGCAAGUCUGCUGUUAAAGCCCAGGGCUCAACCCUGGAUCAGCAGUGGAAACUGUCAGGCUAGAGUGCGGUAGGGGUAGAGGGAAUUCCCAGUGUAGCGGUGAAAUGCGUAGAUAUUGGGAAGAACACCAGCGGCGAAGGCGCUCUACUGGACCGUAACUGACACUCAUGGACGAAAGCUAGGGGAGCGAAAGGGAUUAGAUACCCCCGUAGUCC